UCCCGACGGAGGCGCGUCGCCCGGGCCCCGCGAGGCCUGCUGCCCAGGCGGGGAGUUGGGGGCCCCCCGUGCGCACUCGGCUCGAGGUGAACGACCUGCCCCCCAAGCCCCAUCGGCCGGGUGGGGCAGCGCCGGCAGCCACCUGUUGGACGGAGGGUGACUGCCCCGUGCUCUCUUCCACGGGGACCAAACUGAAAAAACGGACGCUGCCGCCGUCCCUGCACCUUGAGUCUACGUGAACGACGCCAAGGUCGGGGCGGGGAGCCUGCCCAGGGCGGAGUUUUCUCCGGGUUUGAUAUUACAGACCCCGCGGCCCCGGCCCGGCCCGGCCCCUGAGCUCCCCGCCCACCCCGACCCCCGGCCUCGGCCUAGGCCUCGGCAACUGCUCCCCCUGCCCGUCCUCCUCCCCUCCGGGGCCGCCCCCGCCGGGCCCCGCGGACGGCCCGGGCUCCGCUCCCUGCAGGUUGCAGCCGAGCCUCUCGUACGCUGCGGGGAGCGGGCGGUCUCAGGCCCGGGCCGAGCGGGGAGCGCAGGUUUCAAAAUAAUUCUGAGUGAACCACAAGCUUCAUAAUCAACUCUGAGAUUAAAAAUAAUUUGAGGUACAGUCAUCUCUCCAUCUUUGGCAUUGAAAUAUAUACUUGAGAAACAUCGGUAUAGAAAAAAUAAAGUGAGGGACUGGAUGGAACUAGAGACAGAGCAGAGAAUGAGACAAAGAGGACUGAAGAUCUACUUUCAGGAACUCUAAUAUGUAAAGACGGAGAAAGGAGAAUGAAAAGAAACGGGAGCCAAGGAGACGGGAAGAAAAGCAGAGGAAUCAGGGAUCCCAUUGUGAAAAGAAUAGAAAGAUUUCAAGAAAAAAAAGUCUCAGAAGCAUAUAUGCAGGCUCCAUGGAAAGGAACAAAAGCUCCCACACGUUGCAGUGAGAAAUGUGGGAAGAUCCUGACAUGGAAUUGCUGUGGUGGGAAGAUGAAGGCGGAUUCUGACAAUGCUGGGGAUCAAGCAGAAGACGACGUGCCUGGCUCAUAAACCCCACUCACUGAUAAACAAGUUUGUGUGUUUCAACUCAGAACCCCUUCCUAAAAACUACAUAAGCCAGAUUUGGGGGUAAAAUUGGAGACAAGUGAUUCUAGUACAUUUAGCUACUCAUAAUUCAUUCACUCGUGGGAGAGCACAUGGUAUUGGAAAGGCCCUAAGACAUCAUCAGACUGUAAUUAUGUCUGCUGUCAUGUAAAUGAAGCAUGUAGUGACAACUAUUUUUUCCUCUUAAAAUCGUUUUAAUGAUAUAGUUGAAUUCAUUCUUUUUCUGAAGUGGCCCUAAUAGAUCUUCUUUUUGAAAAAUGUACAAAGUAAAAAAUUGUCAGAGGACCAAAUUAUUGUAUAUUUGGUUAUCUUUUUUCCAUGAGACACAGGUACUCAUAUCGACAGCUUUAUAUACCUGAACACAAUUGUGUCCUUUUAGCAUCCUAGAACAUUAGCGUGGAAAGGGUCUUAGAAGCCACACUUUCUCCAUUUGGAAGACCAAGGAACCGAGGCGGAAGGCGACGCUGUAAUUCCUGCAAGGUGGCACAGAGAGGCACAAUGAAACCUAAUGAAGACCCAGAUUUUCUAGUCUUCCAUCUCCCAGCCACGUGAAUCCCUCACGACCUCACUUGGUCUUGACUGUAAAGCACCCACCAUUUCCUCGGCGCUGUUAAGUCCCUCUAUCCAGGCCAGGUCACUUAAAAACUUCAUUUCCAUCGGCAAAUGACAUAUCAGCAUCCCAGGAAUUUUCGAGUUCAGGUAUCUGAGACCUCUUGCUCAGGAGGAGCCCGUCUAGCCGGUUAGUAGACGGUUCCAAGGGAACAGACGAUGUGCGGCGCGUGUGCGGCCGUCGGGGCGCCAGCCUGGUGGGCCUGGUGGGCCUGGUGGGCCUGGGCAGGGCCGGAACGGCAAGUCCCCGCACAAAAUUUACCUAGAGAGAAAGUCCCUUUAAGUGUAAGCCCUGAUGGAACUCCAGAACCUUCCACGAUGGAAGACUCUGGGAAAA
This is a long non-coding RNA of Vulpes vulpes (red fox), 2026 nucleotides long. The record is from Ensembl. NCBI's taxonomy places the organism in Eukaryota, Metazoa, Chordata, Mammalia, Carnivora, Canidae.